This 730-nucleotide ribosomal RNA is filed under the name uncultured bacterium. RNAcentral's name for it is "bacterial SSU rRNA". It matches the Rfam family "Bacterial small subunit ribosomal RNA", at positions 771 to 1501 of the family's 1533-position model. The record is from RNAcentral.
AACAGGAUUAGAUACCCUGGUAGUCCACGCCGUAAACGAUGUGGACUUGGAGGUUGUGCCCUUGAGGCGUGGCUUCCGGAGCUAACGCGUUAAGUCGACCGCCUGGGGAGUACGGCCGCAAGGUUAAAACUCAAAUGAAUUGACGGGGGCCCGCACAAGCGGUGGAGCAUGUGGUUUAAUUCGAUGCAACGCGAAGAACCUUACCUACUCUUGACAUCCAGAGAACUUAGCAGAGAUGCUUUGGUGCCUUCGGGAACUCUGAGACAGGUGCUGCAUGGCUGUCGUCAGCUCGUGUUGUGAAAUGUUGGGUUAAGUCCCGCAACGAGCGCAACCCUUAUCCUUUGUUGCCAGCGGUUCGGCCGGGAACUCAAAGGAGACUGCCAGUGAUAAACUGGAGGAAGGUGGGGAUGACGUCAAGUCACCAUGGCCCUUACGAGUAGGGCUACACACGUGCUACAAUGGCAUAUACAAAGAGAAGCGACCUCGCGAGAGCAAGCGGACCUCAUAAAGUAUGUCGUAGUCCGGAUUGGAGUCUGCAACUCGACUCCAUGAAGUCGGAAUCGCUAGUAAUCGUGGAUCAGAAUGCCACGGUGAAUACGUUCCCGGGCCUUGUACACACCGCCCGUCACACCAUGGGAGUGGGUUGCAAAAGAAGUAGGUAGCUUAACCUUCGGGAGGGCGCUUACCACUUUGUGAUUCAUGACUGGGGUGAAGUCGUAACAAGGUAACC